GACGAACGCUGGCGGCGUGCUUAACACAUGCAAGUCGAACGGAAAGGCCCUUCUUUUGUGGGGUGCUCGAGUGGCGAUCUGGUGAGUAACACGUGAGUAACCUGCCCUUUACUUUGGGAUAACUUCAGGAAACUGGGGCUAAUACCGGAUAGGAGCUCCUGCUGCAUGGUGGGGGUUGGAAAGUUUGGGCGGUUGGGGAUGGACUCGCGGCUUAUCAGCUUGUUUGUGGGGUAGUGGCUUACCAAGGCUUUGACGGGUAGCCGGCCUGAGAGGGUGGCCGGACACAUUGGGACUGAGAUACGGCCCAGACUCCUACGGGAGGCAGCAGUAGAGAAUAUUGCACAAUGGGCGGAAGCCUGAUGCAGCAACGCCGCGUGCGGGAUGACGGCCUUAGGGUUGUAAACCGCUUUCGCCUGUGACGAAGCGUGAGUGACGGUAAUGGGUAAAGAAGCACCGGCUAACUACGUG
RNAcentral lists this ribosomal RNA (468 nucleotides) under uncultured bacterium. RNAcentral describes it as "partial 16S ribosomal RNA". It matches the Rfam family "Bacterial small subunit ribosomal RNA", at positions 28 to 507 of the family's 1533-position model. The record is from RNAcentral.